UUGUCUUUUUAAACUGUGGCGGAUUCCCGCUCUUUUCACUCUGGCCUGGUUUGAGGGGAAUCACGAUGCUGCUGGACUCAGCGCCAUCCUUAACGUUAUAUGGCUUGGGUGUGGAGGAGUCUGGAGGAUUUUUUUCUCAGACGUUUUAUCAUCCUCAAGACGAAAAAGUAAGUGUUUCAGACUCACCUGGUCGGGAUUUUGACGCGUAGGAAGCGGUCGAUGGCGAUGGCCAACAGGGACAGUAUGGAGCUUUGGGUGAUGAUGACGAGAAGGCAGGAAAUGAAGAGGCAGGUGUAAAAUUGUGU
Megalobrama amblycephala (Wuchang bream) is the source of this 305-nucleotide long non-coding RNA. RefSeq lists it as uncharacterized. The record is from RefSeq and is a predicted model, not a curated record. The transcript has 3 exons. Lineage: Eukaryota; Metazoa; Chordata; Actinopteri; Cypriniformes; Xenocyprididae.